GCUGGCAGCUAGUUCUCUGCAAUUCUCACAUGGUCGCCCACUGAAGCCAAGCCGGGCUGCGCCUGGUCAGUACCUGGAUGGGAGACCACAUGGGAAAGCUGGAUUGCUGCUGGAA
Molecule: ribosomal RNA, 115 nt
Organism: Danio rerio (zebrafish)
Lineage: Eukaryota; Metazoa; Chordata; Actinopteri; Cypriniformes; Danionidae
Source: Ensembl